Molecule: unclassified non-coding RNA, 21 nt
Filed under: Dictyostelium discoideum
Lineage: Eukaryota; Evosea; Eumycetozoa; Dictyosteliales; Dictyosteliaceae
Source: RNAcentral
UAAAUUCUGUCUCUAGUAGGG